This 303-nucleotide ribosomal RNA is filed under the name uncultured bacterium. RNAcentral describes it as "bacterial SSU rRNA". It matches the Rfam family "Bacterial small subunit ribosomal RNA", at positions 773 to 1073 of the family's 1533-position model. The record is from RNAcentral.
AGGGAAUAGAUACCCUGGUAGUCCACGCUGUAAACGAUGAGUGCUGGACGUUGGCGGGUUUACCUGCCGGUGUCGCAGCUAAACGCGUUAAGCACUCCGCCUGGGGAGUACGGCCGCAAGGUUAAAACUCAAAGGAAUUGACGGGGGCCCGCACAAGCGGUGGAGCAUGUGGUUUAAUUCGACGCAACGCGCAGAACCUUACCAGCCCUUGACAUGGGCGGACGGGGUCCAGAGAUGGACUCUUUCUCGCAAGAGACCGCUACACAGGUGCUGCAUGGCUGUCGUCAGCUCGUGUCGUGAGAU